This 450-nucleotide ribosomal RNA is filed under the name uncultured bacterium. RNAcentral's name for it is "bacterial SSU rRNA". It matches the Rfam family "Bacterial small subunit ribosomal RNA", at positions 354 to 796 of the family's 1533-position model. The record is from RNAcentral.
GUGGGGAAUUUUGGACAAUGGGGGAAACCCUGAUCCAGCAAUGCCGCGUGUGUGAAGAAGGCCUUCGGGUUGUAAAGCACUUUUGUCAGGAACGAAACGGUGAGGGCUAAUAUCCCUUGCUAAUGACGGUACCUGAAGAAUAAGCACCGGCUAACUACGUGCCAGCAGCCGCGGUAAUACGUAGGGUGCGAGCGUUAAUCGGAAUUACUGGGCGUAAAGCGUGCGCAGGCGGUUUCGUAAGACAGAUGUGAAAUCGCCGGGCUCAACCUGGGAAUGGCGCUUGUGACUGCAAAGCUGGAGUGCGGCAGAGGGGGAUGGAAUUCCGCGUAUAGCAGUGAAAUGCGUAGAGAUGUGGAGGAACACCGAUGGCGAAGGCAGCCCCCUGGGCCGAUACUGACGCUCAUGCACGAAAGCGUGGGGAGCAAACAGGAUUAGAUACCCUGGUAGUCC